CUUCGCGUAGCACAGUUGGUUAGAGCGUCGCACUAGAGCAGCGAACGUCACGGGUUCAAAUCCCGUCGUGGAGC
Molecule: non-coding RNA, 74 nt
Organism: Cymbomonas tetramitiformis
Lineage: Eukaryota; Viridiplantae; Chlorophyta; Pyramimonadophyceae; Pyramimonadales; Pyramimonadaceae
Source: the annotation of a GenBank genome assembly